Molecule: ribosomal RNA, 397 nt
Filed under: uncultured bacterium
Lineage: Bacteria
Description: partial 16S ribosomal RNA
Rfam family: Bacterial small subunit ribosomal RNA
Source: RNAcentral
AUACGUAGGGAGCGAGCGUUGUCCGGAAUUACUGGGUGUAAAGGGCGUGUAGGCGGGACGACAAGUCAGAUGUGAAAUACCGGGGCUCAACUCCGGGGCUGCAUUUGAAACUGCCGUUCUUGAGUGAUGGAGAGGGAAGCGGAAUUCCUAGUGUAGCGGUGAAAUGCGUAGAUAUUAGGAGGAACACCAGUGGCGAAGGCGACUUUCUGGACUAUACCUGACACUGAGGCGCGAAAGCGUGGGGAGCGAACGGGAUUAGAUACCCCGGUAGUCCACGCCGUAAACGAUGGAUACUAGGUGUAGGGGGUAUCGACCCCUUCUGUGCCGCAGCUAACGCAAUAAGUAUCCCGCCUGGGGACUACGGUCGCAAGACUAAAACUCAAAUGAAUUGACGGGG